This 3535-nucleotide unclassified non-coding RNA is filed under the name Pectinophora gossypiella (pink bollworm). Its description in RNAcentral is "uncharacterized LOC126380666". The record is from RNAcentral. Lineage: Eukaryota; Metazoa; Arthropoda; Insecta; Lepidoptera; Gelechiidae.
ACAAGCACCUCACUAGUACGCCACUCUACGCCGAGCUCUCGCCUCGAUCACUCACGUCCAUCGCUCGCUCCCGACCGUCACAACUUACUACCAGUGCUAUAUUACUCGAAAGUGAUCAUCAGUGAUAACACAAUGUGCGAAAGAAGGAUAAGGAAAAUCAAAAAAGGGUCCCACAUGACCAGGCUGCGUGAGACACGGCGCCUGCAAAGACUGCAGCGCAUCGUGACGACUCCGCCCCCGCCGGAGGAGCCCCUGGCGCCUUGCCCGGAGCCCGCCGUCGACAAGACCGCCCAAUGCCGCCUCAUCCUCGAACUAGCCCUAAAGACCAUUAACUUAAUGCAGAAGAACAGCAUGAUUCAGCAGAAAAUUAUCGCACUACAGAAGGAAACUUCAGAUUUCGUUGCGCAAGUGAUGAGCAACCCUGAGAACAAGAAGCGGUACCUGGAGCACCUCCGCUUACACGGAUCGGCGGCCGCGCAGCCGGUGCACGCGCAGGUCAGCUUCCUCCCCGCCACCGCCAAUCUAGAGCCUGGAGCCUAAACAUACGAACACCAUGCGUUUGGGUUGAAGCGCGACACUGACUGAAACAUUAAUGGACGGGUGAUGUUAGUUAAGUUAUUCUUUAGUAUCGCCAUGCGUCUGGCUUUAUAGUUAGUAAUAAUGAACAGAAGAUAAAUGCACAAGCGCUGAAAAUGUUGAUGAAGCUUAUUAUCGCGUGUAAUUAGGGUAAGUAAUUUGAAAUGCGUAGAACGUUACCUAUUUGUAAGAAAUUCGCUAAGUAUAUUACUACCUAAAGUUCUACCUGUAAGUACCUACCUCCUACAAAAGGCUAAGUUAGUUUUCACGGUGACACUGAGAACUAUAUUGGCCUUUUAUAUUAUUUAUUUUUCAAGUCGUUGCUUAUUUCAUGGUUAUUUCUACUAUCUUUUUCUUCUAUGUGAGGUGGAUAACCAACCUCAUCACCCUUGGUCUCAGGAUUAUUAUCGAGCCGCCAAAGGCCCCUUAUUGUUAAAAUUUUAAAUUGUCUUUAAAUUGAAUUCCAUUGACUAAUAUAGCGAUUGUAAGUUUGUCUGUAAUGUACAUUUUGGAUUAAAACGAUAAAGUUUAAAACGCAUUUUGCGGAAAUAAAGAAGCUGGAACCAUGACAUUUUCAUUUUUUAAAUUAUGAGACCAGUGCCAAGUCGUUCAUCUGAAAUUUUUUAGGUGCGUCAUGAAGAAUAGGGUAUUUGACUGCGUCAACAAAAAUUCUAUCCGGUCUAAGAUGAUCAAAAAUCAACUUCGUUUUACUUUAUAACUUAUUAUCGGAUUUUAUUUAUGAAUUAAGUAAUAAUGAGUAAGUACGACGAUUGACUGCUUUUAUUGAUGACGUCACAGGACAGUAUUUCCAUACAAACUCCAAAGAAAAUUUUCGUUUUGACGUUUCGUAAAAAGUAUCAUUUGACUAGGUUGUCAAGUAGCCUAUUGUUCUCCUUUAUCUUUUAGACGUAGGUAGUGAUGGCUCAAGUCGUUACCUGUCGGCUUUUGCCAUAAAAAAUAAUUACCUAAUAUUGUAAGAAGCUUAUUUUAUAAAGAUUUUAAAAAAAAUCUGUAUGGGCUAGUUUUCCCUUCGCAGAUUGGAAGGUUAGACAGGCAGUCGCUGCUGUGAAAGCUGACCUGUCAAAUCCUCGAUUAGAUAACCCCUUGAAAAAGGGCUAACGCCUAGGGAGAUAAUGAUGAUUUUGUAAAGGCUUUUAACAUUCUAACUAUAGGUAAUUGCGACAGUAAAGGUAGCGGUUGUAAAUACGGUUAAUUGCUAGCGUACUUUUUAUCGCUUGGUAUAUCUUAAUAUAAGUUUCAGUUUUGCUGUAAUAACAUACAGUAACUGAAUUUGUUUCAUGUUUACAUACUAACAUUGCUAGAAAGCAAAAGUUUAAAAUAUACUGUAGAUUAUAAGUAUGCAUGAUAAACAUCACAAUGUUAUAACGUUAUAAUUUAAAGUUCUUAAGAGUUUAGGUGUGAGUUCGGGUUAAAUCAGUACAAUUAUGUUGCCUGUAAGGAUGUGAUGUGUGAAUCUUUGAUUCUUGAAAUACAGUUUACAACAACUGGGUGUCACAAAAGGAAGGAAAUCGUUGUCUUCAUUUCUUAAAAGUUUGAUGUAAGUAAUUAGCUUUUUGUGGGUGACUUCCGCAUGUGCUAUGCACUAGUCUAAGUGGCGCGAGUUACGCGCAUAUUCAAACCACAGAAUACUUUUUCGUGUGUUUAAGUGCGUUUAGGGUAGGUCUGUAUCCACCAAACAAAAAUACUCUGUGGCACAUAAGUAACUCGCGCCAUCUAAUCAAGGGCUUUUUUGCCAAUAGUACCUAACAUUUAUACAUCAAUGUUAUUUGUAUAAUGUGGGUAGUCCUACAGCUCAACGUUGCGUGUAACACUGCCUUACUGAAACUAUCGCAAUAGGGGACUGAGUCAAAGAUAAAUUGUAAAAAGACAUAGAAGCCAGUCUAAGAUAAUAAAAAAUCAAUCUCAUCUUACAUUUCGACUUAUUUUCGAAUUUUAUUUAUGAAUUAAGUAACAACGAGUACGACGUUUGACCGCUUUUAUUGAUGACGUCAUAGGACAGUGUUUCAAUACAAACUCCAAAGAAAACUUCCGUUUUGGCGUUUCGUAAAAAGUAGUUCAUUUGACUAGGUUGUCUAGCCUAUUUCACAUUUUUAACAUAUAAUUACAGAUUUGUAUUCCUGUGUGUUCGUUUAAAUUAUUUAGUAUAGACAUGGAACAGAUCUCUUUGGAAUAUAUUUUUUGACGAUUGUCCUUAUAUUUGUCAUUUUAUUUUGUGCCGAUUUUGUUUGCAUUUAAUAGAGAAUAGUGUAAAUAUUCAUGAAGAAAUACGAAUCGCUUUGCUAUUGAUUCUUAAAUAUACACGAACACUGAAUGAUCCAGUUUGUUUCGUACACGUACUAUAUUUAUAGGUUUAGAAUAAGAUGUAUCAUUUGCACAGAUAUUGCCAAAAGCUGUAUUCAUUUUAAAUAAGUAUAGAAAUACAUCGCACUUUGAAAACAUUAGCGGCGCUACCAAAAAUUUGGUUUUGGUUUAAUUUUAGAUUGGAGAACAUGCUAUUUUAGGUAGUUUUUUUUUCAUCUAAGGGUGAAUAAUUCCACAUUUUCAGUUGCAUCACUAUUGUUGUUAAAGUGCGAGUCAUGUGUGUAGUGUGUAUUUUAAACGCUGAAUAGAUGUAGUUAAUACUUUAAAAACAUUUAAUUUUAUGCCUACGUAUAAUAUGGCUACAUGUAUUGGCUAAAUUACUUUGUAAUCUUUAAAUAUAACUAUCUUCAUUUAAAGAUAAAUAGACAUAAGUAACCUAAAUAAACAAAAUCAUGUUUUGUGAGUAAUCGGGAGCACAUUUGGCGUUUUUAAUGUAAUGUCCUGAAUAAGUAUUAACUUUAGACUGGAAUAAUUGUUAUUUAUUGCAUAAGACUCCCGUCUCGAGGUGAAUAUUUGUAGUAAUUGAUAAUCACUUUACUUGAUUUCAUUAAAUAAACUAGUCUUUCUUUAAUAUUUA